Non-coding RNA from Mustela erminea (ermine), 1713 nucleotides. The record is from the annotation of a RefSeq genome assembly. NCBI's taxonomy places the organism in Eukaryota, Metazoa, Chordata, Mammalia, Carnivora, Mustelidae.
AUGCGAGAACAGUGCACCUCAGGAGAAGGCUGGUGUUUUUAUAGAACCUCUAACCGGUGUGAUAACUCAGACUGGAUCAAGAUAUUUGCACAAGGGACUAAGCUCAUAGUAACUCCCCCAGACAAAAGCCUUGAUGCAGACAUAUUCCCCAAACCCAUAAUUUUUUUCCCUUCACUUGCUGAAAUAAAAUUCCACAUGUCCGGUACAUAUAUUUGUCUUCUUGAGAAUUUUUUCCCCGAAGUUAUCAAGAUACAUUGGAAAGAAAAGGAUGGCAAAACAAUUCUGAAAUCCCAGCAGGGAGACACCAUGAAGACUAAGGACACAUACAUGAAAUUCAGCUGGCUGACCGUGGCUAGAGAGUCAUUGGCUAAAGAACAAAAAUGUAUCAUCACACACGAGAGUAAUAAAGGAGGGAUUGAGGAAGAGAUUGUUUUUCGUUCAAUGAAAAAAGAGCUCACUGCUAUUGAUUCUACAAAAAUUGAAGAUGCCACCCUGCAGCUACAGCUCAAGACCACCUCUGCCUGCUACACCUACCUCCUCCUCUACCUCAAGAGCCUGAUCUCCUCCACCAUCACCACCAUCUAUCUGUUUGGGAGACCAGCACUCGGUGGCAAUGGGAAGAGUUCCUAGCACAUGGUGGCACCAAGGAUUCACUUUUCUCCAUUGGCUAUUGUCGUUAAAAAUCUUUCUUUCUUGGUUAGCUUUAUUUCAGUUCAUACAUGCAUUUUUCAAUUGUGUCAUUUCUGCAGAAUGGGUUUACAAAUCACUGGGCAAACAGCAAUUUUCAGUCUGCAGCAAGAACAAAUUCUGCCAUGACUCCAGGGCAGGGCCAGGAGGCAUCUAGAGGGGCAUCAGCACGCCGCUCUCCUUAAUGUCCACCAGCUCCUCAGCCACCCAGUCCCCAUGCCUGAGUACAGCCAGCAUGCAGCUUCUGUCCCCUGGGGCUCUUUAAUCAGAUAAUUGCCAGGAAGCCUUUUAUUCUGCACAUCCAAAGAAUAAAAGAAUAAAAGAAGCCUUUUAUUCUACACAUAAGCUGCAAUCUUUGCUACCUGAAUUUUGUACUGUUUUAUAAUAAAAACAAUUAAAUGUCUACUUUGGCCUCUGUGUACUUUCACUUGGUGCAAUCUGAGAGUCCAAGGUGAGGGACAGGAUGACAACUGAGCCUUCCAAUUCAGCAGUGAUUGUAAUAAUGGUCAAUUCCACAUUUCUAAUUUUUUCUCUGAGGUAGUCCUUAUGAUGCCUUCUUUGGGGGCACCAGCUGUAAGAGAGCCACAGCCAGUGAAGGUGCCCUGGUAUUUCUCCUUCAAAGGUCAGCAGAUUCACUCAUUUGGUUAAAGGCGUUCCAGUGGUGACAGUAUAACCUGUUGCAUGACUGGCAGGUGUGCUCAGACCUGUCCCAGUAUGUCACCAGCACCAUGUUCCUGAUCUCACAAGAAUCCCAUGACAGCAGCACUAACACUGGAAAGGUAGGGUGGGGGAGGGGUUAAGUGCUUGGACUCUGAACCCCAAGUGCCUGGAUUGAAAUCUUUGGUCUACAGCUAUUUGAACUCUCUGUGCCAUUAUUUUCUCAUCUGUCAAAUAGAGUUGUCAAAUGUGUCCUGUCUCCUGGGGUUGUGUGGAUGAGAAGAGUUAAUUUUGGGGAUACAUGGGAGUCCUCAGCAGCAUUAGCAUCUACUGUUGGCAGCUCUCCUUUAGAAAUAAUAGUUAACACAC